Molecule: unclassified non-coding RNA, 223 nt
Filed under: uncultured fungus
Lineage: Eukaryota; Fungi
Description: sequence contains ITS1, 5.8S rRNA gene
Rfam family: 5.8S ribosomal RNA (bases 175-223)
Source: RNAcentral
UUUCCGUAGGUGAACCUGCGGAAGGAUCAUUAACGAAAUUGUCUUCGGACAUUUUUAUCCUUAACACCUGUGAACUAUUGUAAUUUUUUGCUUUGGUCCUUCGGGGCCAGAAGAUUUAAUCAAAACCUUUUAUUAUUAACCUGAGUCUGAAAAUUGAAAAAUUGAAUUAUUCAAAACUUUCAACAACGGAUCUCUUGGUUCUCGCAUCGAUGAAGAACGCAGC